GUGAUUAUUUUGCGUGUUUUCAGAAUUUCGAUGCUUAUGCAAAAGGGUUUGUUGGUCCCCGUCGGCAGGUCACCCCGCCGAGGGAAUAACGAAUGGUAGACAUAGGCAAGGGUUGCAUGCUGCGGCUCUCCCCGAAGGGCGAUGCCGUUGAGCAAGCGGUAAUGAUCCUUCCGCAGGUUCACCUACGGAAA
RNAcentral lists this unclassified non-coding RNA (191 nucleotides) under uncultured fungus. RNAcentral describes it as "sequence contains ITS1". Lineage: Eukaryota; Fungi. The record is from RNAcentral.